This 824-nucleotide long non-coding RNA is filed under the name Sus scrofa (pig). Its description in RNAcentral is "lncRNA (ENSSSCG00065026914.1)". The record is from RNAcentral. Lineage: Eukaryota; Metazoa; Chordata; Mammalia; Artiodactyla; Suidae.
GGUGGACGUCACAUGUGCAGCUCAGCUGUUGUGCUGAGAAUUGCUGACACGAGCAGUUCCAACCAGGAAAGCAGAGCUGCUUCCCACGGACAGAUUUUGGGGGUGGGUAGCAGGGACCCUCCUGACGGCUUGCUUCUGGGAUGUAGGAUGCAUUACGGAAAUCAUGAGCCUGUGUCCAGGCGUGGUCUCCUUUUCAUAGACCUGGGUACUGUGGCAACAUCCACCCCCCCCCCCCCCCCCCGCCCCCGCCGCAAGGCUGCCUUUUGGCUGCUGGCUGUGCCAUGGAAUGGAGCAUAUGUAUUUCUGCAUAUUUCCACUUUUGUGGUUUCAGUUCCAGGCUUUCAAAUUUUUUUUUCUUUUUUUCAGGAGAGAUCAGAGACAUACAGACUGUACUUCCUUCUGCGACACAGAAUUCGCACCUACUUGCUGAAUGGAAAACUUCCGUACAGAAUCCUCUCAUCUUUUUACGAGGAAGCCAUGGUCUCCAACUUCAAAAUUGAGGGACUACAUUUAAUUCGCGCAACUAUUCCCAACAGCCAAGACAUGGAAACACCCUAAAUGUCCAUCAACAGAGGAGUGGAUCAAGAAGAUGCAGUAUAUGUCUACAAUGGAAUAUUACUCAGCCGUAAAAAAGAAUGAAAUAAUGCCACUUGCAGCCGCAUGAAUGGGCCUAGAGAUUAUCAUACUCACUGAAGUUAAUCAGACAGUGAAAGACAAAUACCAUACACUAUCACGUCUAUGUGGAAUCUAAAAUAUGAUGCAAAUGAUCCUGUCUACAGAACAGAAACAGACUCACAGACAUAGAGAACAGGCUUGUGGUCGCC